Molecule: long non-coding RNA, 755 nt
Filed under: Pandoravirus neocaledonia
Description: hypothetical ncRNA
Source: RNAcentral
CGGCGCCAUACGCGGGCAUGGCGGACACCGCCGCCGCGCCUUGCGCACUGAACGCGUUGCCGCCGUACAUUGCCGACGGCGCGACGGGCGCACCGUAAAAGCCACUGCCAUUGUUGUUGAUCGAGUUGUUGUUGUUGUCCAUGAUGUGACCGGAUGCGGUUCGCCCGACGUUCGCCCUUGUGCGUCGUCUGUUGGAUUUUCAGUGGAGCGCGCUCGUCGCGUGCGAGUGGGAGACUGAAACCAGUGCGAAUGCGGCAGAGAGGAGCCCGAAAAGAAGGGACCGUGGCGCUUUGAUCGUCGAAAGAGGCUCGCCUUUACCUGGUGAGAAGCGAGGAAAAGCGCCUGCCGCCGCGCCUUGUUGUGCACCGCACGUGCUCUCUCUCUCUUCUCUCUUCCUCGCCUUUUUUCUCGCCCUCUUUAUUUUUGUUCGAUCCCACUGACGGCGCAGUCUCUUUUUUUUGUCUCUGUGUGUGUUGCAUGGCCCAAGUCGUCGGACAGGGGGGAUGCGCUCUCUGUUGCAACACAAGCCAGUGGAAAUUGGCCAUGGGAGCGUGCCGUUGCGCCCAACAUGACCCGCUGGCUCGGGCCGCUUUCGGCGCAGCCUUUGGAAAAGAAAACGGUUGCGUCAACACACAAUCCGACCCAUAGACAACGGCCUUUUUUGCGUGAUCCUACAACCAAUAAAAAAAAGACAAGGGACGGCAGCAAAAAACAAACAGCCAACACCGAGGCGACGAAAGGCGAGCAAAAGGUAG